UACAGAGGGGGCAAGCGUUAAUCGGAAUUACUGGGCGUAAAGCGCACGUAGGCGGCUAUGUAAGUCAGGUGUGAAAUCCCCGGGCUCAACCUGGGAACUGCACUUCGGACUGCAUGGCUAGAGUAUGGGAGAGGAAGGCGGAAUUCCCGGUGUAGCGGUGAGAUGCGUAGAUAUCGGGAGGAACAUCAGUGGCGAAGGCGGCCUUCUGGCCCAAUUCUGACGAUCAGGUGCGAAAGAGUGGGGAGCAAACAGG
RNAcentral lists this ribosomal RNA (253 nucleotides) under uncultured bacterium. RNAcentral describes it as "partial 16S ribosomal RNA". It matches the Rfam family "Bacterial small subunit ribosomal RNA", at positions 524 to 776 of the family's 1533-position model. The record is from RNAcentral.